Molecule: ribosomal RNA, 229 nt
Filed under: uncultured bacterium
Lineage: Bacteria
Description: partial 16S ribosomal RNA
Rfam family: Bacterial small subunit ribosomal RNA
Source: RNAcentral
UCCGCAGGGGGCCGGCUAAGUUUGAUGUGAAAUCCCGGGGCUCAACCCCGGAACUGCAUUGAAAACUGGUUGGCUAGAGUACCGGAGAGGAAAGUGGAAUUCCAGGUGUAGCGGUGGAAUGCGUAGAUAUCUGGAAGAACACCAAAAGCGAAGGCAGCUUUCUGGACGGUUACUGACCCUCAGGGACGAAAGCGUGGGGAGCAAACAGGAUUAGAUACCCUGGUAGUCC